GAUGAACGCUAGCUACAGGCUUAACACAUGCAAGUCGAGGGGCAGCAUGGUCUUAGCUUGCUAAGGCCGAUGGCGACCGGCGCACGGGUGAGUAACACGUAUCCAACCUGCCGUCUACUCUUGGACAGCCUUCUGAAAGGAAGAUUAAUACAAGAUGGCAUCAUGAGUCCGCAUGUUCACAUGAUUAAAGGUAUUCCGGUAGACGAUGGGGAUGCGUUCCAUUAGAUAGUAGGCGGGGUAACGGCCCACCUAGUCUUCGAUGGAUAGGGGUUCUGAGAGGAAGGUCCCCCACAUUGGAACUGAGACACGGUCCAAACGCCUACGGGAGGCAGCAGUGAGGAAUAGUGGUCAAUGGGCGAGAGCCUGAACCAGCCAAGUAGCGUGAAGGAUGACUGCCCUAUGGGUUGUAAACUUCUUUUAUAAAGGAAUAAAGUCGGGUAUGGAUACCCGUUUGCAUGUACUUUAUGAAUAAGGAUCGGCUAACUCCGUG
Molecule: ribosomal RNA, 490 nt
Filed under: uncultured bacterium
Lineage: Bacteria
Description: partial 16S ribosomal RNA
Rfam family: Bacterial small subunit ribosomal RNA
Source: RNAcentral